RNAcentral lists this transfer RNA (58 nucleotides) under Oides decempunctatus. Its description in RNAcentral is "tRNA-Arg". The record is from RNAcentral. Lineage: Eukaryota; Metazoa; Arthropoda; Insecta; Coleoptera; Chrysomelidae.
UAUGAAGCAAAAAUUGCAUUUAGUUUCGACCUAAAAAUUAGACUAUUGUCCUUAUUUU